This 31-nucleotide non-coding RNA is filed under the name Homo sapiens (human). The record is from RNAcentral. Lineage: Eukaryota; Metazoa; Chordata; Mammalia; Primates; Hominidae.
GGGAAAGGCCAAGCCAUUUCUAGGGUGCUGU